UGUUUCUUAAUUAGGGGCUGGAAUGAAGGAGGCGACGAAAGCUAGACUAUCAAGAUUUUAGUGUAAGUUGACAGCCGGGUUAAAAGGCCCGGGUGGACCGGGGGGACGACAAGACCCUAUAAAACUUUACCUUUGGCGCGGGGUUAAAUGGGGCGGGCCCCGCGCUUAAUGGUUUCGCUGGGGCGGCGUAGGCACAAACAGCUUAAGGUUUAAUAUGUUAAAUAACGUGGUAGAACUCGUAGAGAAAUAGAAUAAGUUACUUUAGGGAUAACAGCGUAAUUGCCCUAGAGAGUCCUUAUUGACAGGGCAGCUUACGACCUCGAUGUUGAAUUGGGACCCCUCUUGUAAGCAAAGAUACACGAAGACAGUCUGUUCGACUAUUAAACUCCC
RNAcentral lists this ribosomal RNA (390 nucleotides) under Proasellus sp. n. Boreon. Its description in RNAcentral is "partial 16S ribosomal RNA". It matches the Rfam family "Archaeal large subunit ribosomal RNA", at positions 2047 to 2666 of the family's 2987-position model. Lineage: Eukaryota; Metazoa; Arthropoda; Malacostraca; Isopoda; Asellidae. The record is from RNAcentral.